This 268-nucleotide long non-coding RNA is filed under the name Solanum tuberosum (potato). RNAcentral's name for it is "long non-coding RNA (STUB_LNC007208)". Lineage: Eukaryota; Viridiplantae; Streptophyta; Magnoliopsida; Solanales; Solanaceae. The record is from RNAcentral.
CCCGGACAGUUGAGUUUGUAAGAUGAAAUUAUUCCUAAUGAGCUCCACUUUAGGCAUAGUGUUACUAAAUUUCCCAAUGAGGGUAUAUUUGCAGGUGGUUGCUAAAUCUUUCAUGACCUCUUCUUUCACAUACAACACUGCAGGCAGACCCUAUUUAGUCGUAGUUUCAGGUGCUGUCAAUGUAAUGGAAACAUCACAUUUGGCCUGAUUAUACCUAAGUCUAUCAGCAUAAGUCUGUACAAUAGUAUAAGGUGCAGGAGCAGCUAAU